CAUCAAAUCUAUUGUUUUGUCAGAAGAUAAUGGAACAAAAUCGGUUUUGACUACUUCAAUUGAAAAGUUAAAAAAAGAAGUCAACACUUUUUUGACAGAAUGCAUUGAGAAAAACAGAAUAGAAUCAUCUGAUGCUCAAAGUACAUUCUGACAAUUGAUGAAGAAGAACUAGAUAGUGAAGAUGAAACCAUCAGUGAAGGUGAUACAUCUCUAAGACCAAACAAGGUUCCUAAGUUGGUCUAAUGCCUGGUUAUCUUUGUCUAAUAUGUCCUCAUUGGUGUGUAAUGAAUCAUGGAAAAAUUGAAAAAUAUACAUAUAUUUCUGGGUAUUUUUAUUUAAUAAUUUGUUUUUCUCUUUUUCCUGUGCUUGAAAAGAUUCCCAUGUGAAUACACUUUCAUUGUAGUACUUAUUUUGGCAAUUUAGCAACACAGGGAAGGGAAGGGAGAGAGAAUCGAGUUCACAUCUGGCAUCGCUGUUCGUCCAUUUUAUCCGCCAUUCUGUGAGGUUCUUCUUUCGGCAAGGCACGUACAUCAAUAUCCUUGUUUCCCAAAAAUGUUGGUCGCUCGCAAAGUUCUUUCCCUGACAAAAUCCCUCGCCGGAACAAAUGGAUUCCAGUUGCGAACAUCAGCCAUUUCUGGCCCUGCCCGUGUGAAAGUCCCGGCUGCGG
This is a long non-coding RNA of Daphnia magna, 667 nucleotides long. RefSeq lists it as uncharacterized. The record is from RefSeq and is a predicted model, not a curated record. The transcript has 2 exons. NCBI's taxonomy places the organism in Eukaryota, Metazoa, Arthropoda, Branchiopoda, Diplostraca, Daphniidae.